The sequence is a transfer RNA, 73 nucleotides long. It matches the Rfam family "tRNA". Rfam says of the family: Transfer RNA (tRNA) molecules are approximately 80 nucleotides in length. Their secondary structure includes four short double-helical elements and three loops (D, anti-codon, and T loops).
GCCCCGGUAGCUCAAUUGGCAGAGCGACUGGCUUGUAACCAGUAGGUUGAGGGUUCAAGUCCCUCCCGGGGCU